AUUUGAGUAGUUUAAAUAAAAUUGAAAUUUGUGGUGUUUCAGAUACUAUACAGUCUUGAGUU
This 62-nucleotide transfer RNA is filed under the name Tricentrus sp. EMHAU-15041605. Its description in RNAcentral is "tRNA-His". The record is from RNAcentral. Lineage: Eukaryota; Metazoa; Arthropoda; Insecta; Hemiptera; Membracidae.